This 492-nucleotide ribosomal RNA is filed under the name uncultured bacterium. Its description in RNAcentral is "partial 16S ribosomal RNA". It matches the Rfam family "Bacterial small subunit ribosomal RNA", at positions 29 to 507 of the family's 1533-position model. The record is from RNAcentral.
AGUGAACGCUGGCGGUAGGCCUAACACAUGCAAGUCGAGCGGCAGCACAGUAAGAGCUUGCUCUUACGGGUGGCGAGUGGCGGACGAGUGAGGAAUACAUCGGAAUCUACUUUUUCGUGGGGGAUUACGUAGGGCAACUUACGCUACUACCGCAUACGACCUACGGGUGAAAGCAGGGGAUCUUCGGACCUUGCGCGAUUCUAUGAGCCGAUGUCGGAUUAGCUAGUUGGCUGGGUAAAGGCCCACCAAGGCGACGAUCCGUAGCUGGUCUGAGAGGAUGAUCAGCCACACUGGAACUGAGACACGGUCCAGACUCCUACGGGAGGCAGCAGUGGGGAAUAUUGGACAAUGGGCGCAAGCCUGACGCAGCCACGCCGCGUGAGUGAAGAAGGUCUUCGGGUCGUAAAACUCUGUUAUUAGGGAAGAAAAGAAGUGUGUGAAAAUCCGCACGUUCUGACGGUACCCAAACAAAAAGCCACGGCUAACUUCGUG